This 318-nucleotide unclassified non-coding RNA is filed under the name uncultured marine bacterium 311. Its description in RNAcentral is "partial 16S-23S ribosomal RNA intergenic spacer". The record is from RNAcentral.
CCUCCUUAAAAAUAAUCGCUUAGGAUAGGCGUUCACACGAAUAACUUGCUUUUACCUAAAUCAUUUCUUUACAGAUUUGAGAUUAAGGAGCGUUCUUUAACAUUUUUAUAAGUUCAAUCAAGUCACAUCAUAGUGUCUUAGUUUUUUAAUUUAGAUAUGAAUGAUGUGCAAAUGUCACCAAACCCGUCAUGUUUUAGAACAUAAGUUUGGUGUACAUACUGCAAAGUAAUUUUGGCGAAUGACAAUAGAUACUUGAAGAACAUUAAUCAUUAAGUUGUUUGAUGUAAUAUGGUCAAGUAAUUAAGCGCAUACGGUGGA